Molecule: ribosomal RNA, 253 nt
Filed under: uncultured bacterium
Lineage: Bacteria
Description: partial 16S ribosomal RNA
Rfam family: Bacterial small subunit ribosomal RNA
Source: RNAcentral
UACGUAGGUGGCGAGCGUUGUCCGGAUUUACUGGGCGUAAAGAGCGCGCAGGCGGCUGGUCAAGUCCGAUGUGAAAGCUCCCGGCUUAACUGGGAAAUUGCAUCGGAAACUGAUCGGCUGGAAGGUGGGAGAGGGUAGCGGAAUUCCCGGUGUAGUGGUGAAAUGCGUAGAUAUCAGGAGGAAUACCGAUGGCGAAGGCAGGUCUCUGGGCUGACACUGACGCUCAUGCACGAAAGCGUGGGGAGCAAACAGG